UAACAGGAUUAGAUACCCUGGUAGUCCACGCUGUAAACGGUGGGUACUAGGUGUGGGGUCCAUUCCACGGGUUCCGUGCCGUAGCUAACGCUUUAAGUACCCCGCCUGGGGAGUACGGCCGCAAGGCUAAAACUCAAAGGAAUUGACGGGGCCCCGCACAAGCGGCGGAGCAUGCGGAUUAAUUCGAUGCAACGCGUAGAACCUUACCUGGGUUUGACAUGGAUCGGGAGCGCUCAGAGAUGGGUGUGCCUCUUUUGGGGUCGGUUCACAGGUGGUGCAUGGCUGUCGUCAGCUCGUGUCGUGAGAUGUUGGGUUAAGUCCCGCAACGAGCGCAACCCUUGUUCACUGUUGCCAGCACGUUAUGGUGGGGACUCAGUGGAGACCGCCGGGGUCAACUCGGAGGAAGGUGGGGAUGACGUCAAGUCAUCAUGCCCCUUAUGUCCAGGGCUUCACGCAUGCUACAAUGGCUGGUACAGAGAGUGGCGAGCCUGUGAGGGUGAGCGAAUCUCGGAAAGCCGGUCUCAGUUCGGAUUGGGGUCUGCAACUCGACCUCAUGAAGUCGGAGUCGCUAGUAAUCGCAGAUCAGCAACGCUGCGGUGAAUACGUUCCCGGGGCUUGUACACACCGCCCGUCAAGUCAUGAAAGUUGGUAACACCCGAAGCCGGUGGCCUAACCGUUGUGGGGGAGCCGUCGAAGGUGGGACUGGUGAUUAGGACUAAGUCGUAACAAGGUAACCA
This 737-nucleotide ribosomal RNA is filed under the name uncultured Propionibacterium sp. RNAcentral describes it as "bacterial SSU rRNA". It matches the Rfam family "Bacterial small subunit ribosomal RNA", at positions 770 to 1502 of the family's 1533-position model. The record is from RNAcentral. Lineage: Bacteria; Bacillati; Actinomycetota; Actinomycetes; Propionibacteriales; Propionibacteriaceae.